RNA transcript from Mustela erminea (ermine), 3636 nucleotides. It is a transcript of the gene named UTP25 small subunit processor component, with no coding region annotated. The transcript is spliced from 14 exons. The record is from RefSeq and is a predicted model, not a curated record. Lineage: Eukaryota; Metazoa; Chordata; Mammalia; Carnivora; Mustelidae.
UAAAACGGCUCUGCUUUAUGGCAACCUGGUUCCGUCGCGAAGCGCUGUGGGCGACCCGCGUGAGUGAGUUGACUAGACAACUUGGUGGUGGGAAACGCGUCUCUUGGAGGUGGGAGACUUUGACGUUUUUUGCUAUGGGCAAACGCGGGAGCCGGAGCCAGAACGAGCUGCUCACCACCCUGACUAAGAAGCAGAAGAAGCAUCUUCGGGAUUUUGGCGAGGAGCAUCCAUUCUAUGACAAGGUUUCUGGAAAGGAGGCAAAACCACAGAUUUAUCAACUGUCAGAGAGUUCAGAUACUUCAGGUUCUGAAAGUGAAGCAGAGAGUGAACCAGAACAAGUUUCUGGGUACCACAAACUUCUUGCCACAUUAAAGAAUGCUGUAGAAGAAGAUGAGGAGGAGGAGGAAGAGAAUGAAGAAGAAGAGGAAGACGAAGAAGAAGACAGUGCUGUAGAUGAGGCGGAAAUGAACAGUGAAGAUGGUGGUAGUGAUGUCAGUGUGGAGAAAGAAACAACAGGAGAGUCUACCAAAGUGCAGGAGAGUACGGAUUUACCUGGUGACCCUGAAGGAAAAGGUGGGGAUGGACCACUUGGCACAUCACAAGAAUCCCUUGAGGAGUUCACAGAUGCAAAACAUGAGUCACUUUUCAGCCUGGAAACCAAUUUUCUUGAAGAGGAAAGUGGAGGCACAUGCUCUCUAAAAGUGUCACAAGAUCCAUUUCUACAACAUGUGAGCAAAGAACUGAAGGAAGAAGAAAUUCAAGCUGUUGCCACAAAUCCCAAAACUACACACCAGCUGAAAUGGCCAAUAUUGGGCCAGCUUGUCUUCUCCUCCAAGUUUCAGAAGUUGGAAACUUUUAAACCUUCAAAGGACAUUGAUUUAAAGUCACUUCAUCUCCAGAAGCCUCUGGAAUCCACCUGGACCAAGACCAACAGCCAGUUCCUCUCUGGUCCCUCCAAAUCAAGUGGCCCCUUCACCCCACUCCAGAAAGAGCUCUUCUUAAUUAUGAAUUCUUACCGGGACCUGUUCUACCCAGAAAGGACUGCCCUGAAGAAUGGGGAGGAGAUCCGCCACGUGUACUGCCUACAUGUAAUAAAUCAUGUCCUCAAAGCCAAUGCCCGGGUGCUUGGUAACAAUAGCAGACGCCGCAGCCAGAAACUUGGGGUGGGUGACGAUGAUGACUUCAGAGACCAAGGGCUAACAAGGCCCAAGGUGCUAAUAGUGGUACCCUUCCGGGAAGCUGCUCUGCGAGUGGUACAGCUCUUCAUCAGCCUCCUCGAGGGUGACAGCAAGAAGAAAAUAAUUGUGAGCAACAAAAAGAGGUUUAAGGGAGAGUAUGGCUCAGAUCCUGAGGAGAGACCACCCAACCUCAAGAGGCCCGAGGAUUACGAAGCUGUGUUUGUCGGCAACAUCGAUGAUCACUUUCGGAUCGGAGUGGCAAUACUUCAGAGAAGCAUCCGACUCUAUGCCCCCUUUUACUCCUCUGACAUCCUCAUUGCCUCCCCGCUGGGCUUGAGGACCAUCAUUGGUGCAGAAGGAGAGAAGAAGAGAGAUUUUGACUUUCUGUCUUCAAUUGAGCUGCUCAUCAUUGAUCAAGCUGACAUUUACCUGAUGCAGAACUGGGAGCAUGUCCUGCAUUUGAUGAACCAUAUGAACUUACUGCCCUUGGAUUCACAUGGAGUGGAUUUCUCUCGAGUGAGGAUGUGGAGCCUCAAUAAUUGGUCUAAGUACUAUCGCCAGACACUGCUUUUUGGGGCCCUGCAGGAUGCCCAAGUCAACUCUGUGUUCAACAAGUACUGCGUCAAUCUGCAAGGCCAGGUGGCUGUGAGGAAUGUCCCAAUGACAGGCUCUAUCAGCCAUGUCCUGGUGCAGCUUCCACAUGUCUUCCAGAGGUUGGAAGCUGAAAACCUAGCUUCAGUGAUUGAUGCCAGGUUUAACUUUUUUGUGAACAAGAUUUUGCCUCAGUACCGUGAUGCCGUGAUGUCUCACACACUCAUCUACGUCCCCUCCUACUUUGACUUUGUGCGGCUCCGGAAUUACUUCAAGAAGGAGGAACUGAAUUUCACCCACAUCUGCGAGUACACUCAGAAGUCCGGUAUCUCCAGGGCCAGACACUUCUUCCUUCAAGGAGAGAAGCAGUUCUUGCUCCUCACAGAGCGCUUCCAUUUCUACAAAAGGUAUACCAUUAAAGGGAUCAGGAACCUGAUUUUCUAUGAACUGCCAACGUAUCCCCACUUCUACAGUGAAGUCUGUAACAUGCUGAAAGCCACCAGCAGAGGAGAGGAAGCCACCUGGACUUGCACUGUCCUCUACUCCAAGUAUGAUGCCCAGCGGCUGGCUGCUGUGGUUGGCGUGGAGCGGGCUGCACAGAUGCUGCAGUCCAAGAAGAACGUCCACCUGUUUAUCACUGGAGAAAGAUGAAACUUUGUUGGACAGGAAAUGGUGUUGGUGGGGUAAUAAUGCUUACUUCUGUGCCACUUGGACCCAGUUCUGAUCACUUACAUGAGAGAAGGACUGCUAUAAGGAAGGAGCACCAGGCAGCGUCAUAUUGGAUGAUUCUUUUUAGGUCAUGUGUCCCUGAAAAGUUAACUAAAUUUUGUAAACUAAAUUUUGGUCACCUCUGACAGAGAUCAGGAGGGAGCUGAUAAACUCCGAGAUGUUGAUAGAGGAAAAACUUCUACUUGAAGCUCUUUGUGUGAACCUGGAUUUCAAGUCCAUGAUGUAGCUGCAGGAAGUCUACAUUGUAUUUAGCAUCCCUGGUGAUUGUAGUGCUGGCUUGUAGCCAGCCAACUGCUUCUUGCCUGUAAAAACACUGAGGAUUUCAAAUGUGAACAAGUACUGCUUCUGUUCUUGGCUUAGCACCUGCAAAAGAAGGGUGCAGAUAGGGAUGUCUUUUGGGGGGAGUGAUAUUGUUAAGGAUGAAAUGAAACCACAUGCAUAUUUGUGGAGCUUAUAGAAGUUCCCCUCUCCCUUUCACAUGGACUGCCCGUGGAUCCCGUCAUUCAACUGCUAUGCACGAGCGUGCACGCUGGGCCAGGAAUGCUUCUGGGCACUUAGGACACAACAAUAAAUGGGACAGACAUGCUUCUUGCACUCUGAGAGAUUCAUGGGGAAGACAGGAAGUAAACAAUCAGAAGCUACAUAAAAAUGUAGAUGGUGCUAAAUGCUGGAAGAAAAUGAAGCAAAGAUAGAGAUUUUGGCCACCCCGUUUCCUUUGCCUGGAAUGCCCAGUCCGCACUUCUACCCCUGCUCAGUCCCCAGUUCUACUGCUGCUGAACUCUUGCUCCUUUUUCAAGCCCCCCUUUAAAUGAUCAUCUUUGUGAAAUCACAGUUUGCUAUCACACUUAAUCCUAUAGACUUCCCUAAAGUUGUCCAAAUCUGUCUGUGAGGCUGAGGGCAAUACUUUAUCUUGUUCGUUGUUGCAUUUUUCAAACCACUGUCCAUCAGGAAAGCUACUCGGAUAUUCUGAAGAGGAACACUGACACCAUCACGCCAAGCAACUACCUGAUGUGCCAGUUCCCAAGUGGCAAAUCCUCAGAGUGAGCACUGGGGGAGGGACCGGACUGGGCAGGCAUCCUGGAACUCUGUAGGGCCAAAUGAACAAACUUUCAAACAAAUAACAGAAUGAAACAUCACA